RNAcentral lists this ribosomal RNA (427 nucleotides) under uncultured bacterium. RNAcentral describes it as "partial 16S ribosomal RNA". It matches the Rfam family "Bacterial small subunit ribosomal RNA", at positions 355 to 774 of the family's 1533-position model. The record is from RNAcentral.
UGGGGAAUAUUGCACAAUGGGCGCAAGCCUGAUGCAGCCAUGCCGCGUGUAUGAAGAAGGCCUUCGGGUUGUAAAGUACUUUCAGCGGGGAGGAAGGUGUUGAGGCUAAUAACCUCAGCAAUUGACGUUACCCGCAGAAGAAGCACCGGCUAACUCCGUGCCAGCAGCCGCGGUAAUACGGAGGGUGCAAGCGUUAAUCGGAAUUACUGGGCGUAAAGCGCACGCAGGCGGUGUGUCAAGUCGGAUGUGAAAUCCCCGGGCUCAACCUGGGAACUGCAUUCGAAACUGGCAGGCUAGAGUCUUGUAGAGGGGGGUAGAAUUCCAGGUGUAGCGGUGAAAUGCGUAGAGAUCUGGAGGAAUACCGGUGGCGAAGGCGGCCCCCUGGACAAAGUCUGACGCUCAGGUGCGAAAGCGUGGGGAGCAAACA